AAUAGCCUAACGGCUGAACCAGCAACUUGGAGGAAUGUAUAGCAAUUGCUAAUUGCACUAAAAUUUUUAGUGUAAAAUCAACAUAUUUGAAUAAAAUUCUGGAUGGAAUUAUGAUAAUGACAUUAGCUGUUCAUAAGUCUUGACCAAAUUACGUGCCAGCAGUCGCGGUAAUACGUAGAAGACAAGUGUUAUUCAUCUUUAAUAGGUUUAAAGGGUACUUAGACGGAAAAUCAAGCCUCAAAAAGGGACUAAUUUUCUAGAGUUUUAUGUGAGUAAGUAUUAAUGUACUGCUGGUGUAGAGAUGAAAUUCUGUAAUACCUUGAAUGGCACAGGUUAAGGCGAAAGCAUCUUUUUAUGUAAAAACUGACGUUGAAGGACGAAGGCUUUGUGUCUCGAACAGGAUUAGAUACCCUAGUAGUCUAAGCAGACAAUGAUGAAUGUCAUAGAUUAGAUUUAAUUUGAUCUAUAAAUGAAAGUGUAAGCAUUCCACCUCAAGAGUAAUUUGGCAACAUUGGAACUGAAAUCAUUAGACCGUUUCUGAAACCAGUAGUGAAGUAUGUUGUUUAAUUUGAUAAUCCGCAAAAAACCUUACCACAAUUUGAAUAGAUAUAUUUUAUCAUACAAGCGUUGCACGGCUGUCUUCAGUUAAUGUCGUGAGACUUUGGUUAGUUCCAUAAAAUUAACGUAAACCCUUACUUUAUUUUUAAAUAAAGUAGCUCACCGCUAUAUUGGAUGUGAUAACAGGGAUCAAGACAAGUCAUCAUGACCUAAAUAUUGUGGGCUAUAGACGUGCCACAUAUGCCUUACAAAAAGAUGCUAAAUUGUAAAAUGGAGCUAAUCUUCUAAAAUUGGAUAUAAAUUUAAU
RNAcentral lists this ribosomal RNA (865 nucleotides) under Caloplaca lucifuga. RNAcentral describes it as "SSU rRNA". It matches the Rfam family "Bacterial small subunit ribosomal RNA", at positions 370 to 1298 of the family's 1533-position model. Lineage: Eukaryota; Fungi; Ascomycota; Lecanoromycetes; Teloschistales; Teloschistaceae. The record is from RNAcentral.